AUUAUCUAAUAUGUAAUUAUAUUUUGUUUUUUCCAAAAUGAUUUAAGAAAUGACCCCCACUCUCAAGCUCUGAUGUUGUUUACACGGGUGGGCUUUAUUUUUCUGGGCUUUACACAUUCACGAACAAACGCUACCAUGGCGAUUAUCCCCUGAAAUUUGCAUCGUUCUUCUCCAUCAGUCGGUCUCCAUUCUUCACUCCGGCUAGGUUUUUGAAAUUAGGUUGGAAACUAUAGUCGAUAAACGAAUUGAUUCCUCUUCGCUGUUUCUAUCGAACCAUUGAUCAUCUUGUCAGACAGGUUUGCGUUUCAAUUUUGUUGUUCUCACUUUGUUUCUAUAUUUAUUUACGGUUAGGUUUUCGAUAUUUGAUUCUUAGAAAUGAAUUCUUAGCAAAUUACGAUUUUUUGAUUUUUAAGAGCAGUAUGUAUUUGUUCAAGACCAGUACUCCUUUCAUGUGUGACAUCCCCUUAUUUGAUUUUUAAGAGCAGUUUAUUCUGCUUAGAUCGAGAAUAUGAGAUUGUGAGCUUAAGUUGGCACACUAUGUAUUUGUCUAAGAGAUUUUACAGAGUAUGUCAUAUAAGAUUUGGAAUCAUUUGUCGAGGAAGCAAUUGGAUGAUCCACUUCCGAAAAGGAACCCUUAUUUGAUGAAGCACAUGUUUUAUUUUGGCUAAAGAGGAAAGUAAAUUUUUGAAGUUCUUAAGGUUUAUGUGGAACCCUCUAUCAUGGGUUAUGGAAGCAGCAACUAUUAUGGCCAUUGCACUGGCCAAUGGAGGAUUUUUAAAGAACGUGCAAAGUGAUAUGCUCCUCAAAAGUAGGUGAGAACCAAAUAUGAUACAAGUUUUUGCUUCUCUAUUCUACGUGUCUGGUUUAGAUUCACUUAUAUACUUGUUUGUUUGUACCACCACAUCAACUUGGAUGGAUUUACUUCAUCUCCAACCGUUUUUAAAGAGCAAGCAACAUGAGUCUGCUUAAGACACUAUUCAAGCAUUGGAUGUUCUCAGGGAUGCUCCAUCGAAACUGUAAGAUUCUUAAUGCUACCUUAUUUUAUCAUUUGAAAAUGUCUUGGGCAGUAGUUUAUUUUGGUUUGGGUAUGUUGUUGUGUGACUUUAUAAAUUAUAAUAGUGUACUCUGUGUGGUUCUAAAGGAAUGAGUUAAUGCAAAUGUUUUGUUUAAGAAAUUUAUUUUCUCAAGUAAAAAGCAGAUUCUAUCUUGACAGCCA
Long non-coding RNA from Cannabis sativa, 1216 nucleotides. RefSeq lists it as uncharacterized. The record is from RefSeq and is a predicted model, not a curated record. Lineage: Eukaryota; Viridiplantae; Streptophyta; Magnoliopsida; Rosales; Cannabaceae. The transcript has 4 exons.